Neltuma alba is the source of this 411-nucleotide long non-coding RNA. RefSeq lists it as uncharacterized. The record is from RefSeq and is a predicted model, not a curated record. NCBI's taxonomy places the organism in Eukaryota, Viridiplantae, Streptophyta, Magnoliopsida, Fabales, Fabaceae. The transcript has 2 exons.
UCAAGGAAGAAGCAAGGGGAAGUUAGUACGGAAGAAAAAGCAAAAGCAAGAGCAGGUACUCCUAAGGGCAAGGGAGUAGUGAUCGGUGGAGUUUAAAGGCGCAGGAAGCUGGCGAUCUUUUGUGUAUAUAUAUUUUGCUAAAAUGCAUCUUAUUUUGAAGUGAAGAUAUAUUGUAUAUCUAUUUUGGUUUGUAAAUAUUUCUCCAUAAGGAGGUGGCUAAGGGCUGAUAAACCAUGGUAACUGCUAUUGAAAGAAAUGAUCAAUAUUUUGAUAUAUAGCUAUUAUUUUGUCUAAAAUUACGUGUAUCUGUAUAUGUAACUCGUUGUACGAGCCAAUGGCCAGAAUAUUGAAUGUUAGAUCCUACUGGCUAUAAUUGAUUUGAUAUGGGAUCCAAAAGGUUGGAUGGAAAAA